RNAcentral lists this transfer RNA (69 nucleotides) under Dercas lycorias (plain sulphur). Its description in RNAcentral is "tRNA-Glu". Lineage: Eukaryota; Metazoa; Arthropoda; Insecta; Lepidoptera; Pieridae. The record is from RNAcentral.
AUUUAUAUAGUUUAUAUAAAACUUUACAUUUUCAUUGUAAAAAUAAAAUUACUAAUAUUUUUAUAAAUA